This 5922-nucleotide long non-coding RNA is filed under the name Homo sapiens (human). Its description in RNAcentral is "HSALNT0094303". The record is from RNAcentral. Lineage: Eukaryota; Metazoa; Chordata; Mammalia; Primates; Hominidae.
CUUGAACCAGGGAGUUGGAGGUUGCAGUGAGCCAAGAUCGCGCCACUGCACUCCAGCCUGACAACAAAGUGAGACUCCAUCUCAAAAAAUAAAAAAAAAAGAAAGAAAGGAAGAAAGAAAGAAAGAAAGAAAAAGAACGAAAAGAAAGAAAAAAUUGGCAAAAAUUAGUUUGUUAAUAUCAAAUGUAAAGCUAUGGGAAAUAAGUAGCCCCCCCCAAAUUUAAACAUUACAUGUCUAAUGACCAGUUUUAUUUCUUAUUAUUAUACACUCAGAUUUAAUACCACGGUUAAGAACAAGAGGAAUAAACAGAGAUUUUCAUGGCAAUAUUGUUUAUUAUAAAAAAUUUGAAAACAAAUUAUAUUUCCAUCAUUGGGAAAAUAACUAAACUACAAAUAAAUUGCAUGCAUAGUAUAGCAUACACUAUAUAAGGUUAAAAAGUGACACAGAAAAGUCUCCAAAGGGAUUAUGAUGGUGAGAGAAGGCAGUAGGAAGCAAUUAUCAUAAUAAAGCAUUUAGCAUGAUGAAGUAUCCAUCAGAAACACAAACACACACAGCAACACUGUACACUUCUCUAAAUAGUUGCUUGUAUGAGUACAUGUGUAUUUAACACAUUAAAAAGCCUAAAAAUAUACCUGUUAAAUGAUAAUCUGGGAUAAAAAGAGGUAUUACAUGUAGUAGUCAAAAAGCAUUUAACCUUAACCUAUAAUAUUUCAUUUUUUAUCAGUGACAAUGCAUUCUACAUUGCUUGUGUAAUUCUAUAAAUAUUACUAUACAAACCAGUGCUAAAAUGAAUUAUAAUAUGGGAAUAAGCAUGCAUAUGGGGUCUGUAUAUGCAUGCUAGGAGGCCACUUAGUGGAAUGUAGUGGGUGCCUCUUAUUUUUGUACACAGCAUCCCUUUCUCCUUUUCCAGUUAAUAGGACAAUUAAAUUCCUUUUUAUAGUUUUAUUUUGCAUAAACUAAUUCAAAUUGGGUUUGUGUCAUUUGUAACUGAACAAGUCCUUAUUUUCUAACACAUUUUCCGUUUUGUUGUCAUUGUGUUUUAAAAAUGUAAAAACAGCACAUUACUAUGCAACUUCCAGUUUAUCUUGAAGAAAUGAGUCACCACCCAAGUAUGGAGCAUGAGCUUUAUCUCACGGGAUUGGAAAGGCAGACUGGGAAAGGAAUGACACUUUGGAAAUUUACUUUGAGAAAUGUCUGUAUUAUUAAACAGAAUAAGGUUUUCAUUUCUGUAUUCUUUCAGCAAAGCUACUAAUCUGAGCAACGUGGAAUUAAAAUUGUAGACUAAUAAAAGGUAAGAUAUAUAAGAGUAAAGUAUAUAAGAUUCUAACAAUAGAGAUUUUGAUAAUGGGUAGUUGCUUCUUAUUUCCCUUCUGUCAACAGCCACGCCUCGAGAGCCCAGCUCCGGGACCCUGGCACCAGGGGAAGCUCCCAUGACAGAUUACUGUGGUCUCUUGCAUGCUGCUAUAGAUUGCAAUACUGAGACCAUGAUAACCUGCCACUCCCCAAAAUAUUCUUGUCUUGCCUACUUGCUCAAAUAUUGGAGGAUCUGAAGAAAUUACGAAGAAGUUUUGAUCCUUAGUAAUCAGUGAGGAUUGUCCAGAAAAAUAGAACCAAUAGGAUGUGCGUAUAUAUAUGUAAAUGAAAGAGAUUUAUUUUAAAGAAUUGGCUUAUGAGAUUUUCCAGACUUGGUGUGUCCAAAUUCUGAUGAGGAAGCCUGGAAGGCUGAAGACUUAGGAAAGAGUUGCAAUUUGUGUCCAAAGGCAGUCUGCUGGUGAGCCAGGAAGAACUGAUGUUGCAGAUGAAAUCUAAAGAAACAUCAGGAGUAGACAAGACUGCCUGUUACUGUGUAGCACUCGAUCCAUUUCUGUUUUGAUUUGGAGAUGAUAAAUUAAGGAAACUCUUCUUGGCCCACAGUAGUGGUAACCCCACUUUCCAGGCCCACCAUGUUGGCAAUCCCACCCUUUCUGCUCUGAGAAGAGGGCCAGUCCCUCUGAAUCCAAGGAGAUGACCCCACUCUCUGGAACCAAGCAGGAGAUGGUCCCAUACACAGGGUGAAGCACAAAGGAGAUUCUUGCAAGAUUUGGAAGACCUAGGGAAGGAAGUGACAUUUUAUGGCUGACCUAUGCUGUUGCUGAUCUGCUGCAUCAUUUCAAUGGCAUAAAGCAGCAUCUAGAUCUGCGGUUGUUUAGCCUUUUCUGGAUUCAUCUUCAGUUUUUUGACCCCUGAGCCAGACUCAGAGUUCACCUCCUCCAGGAAGCCUUCCUUGAGACGCCAUUGCUCACCUGGCUCUACUUGCUUGACCAGAAGUACUUUAAAGAUUAUAUCUUUACAUUUUGUAUCUGCAGGACUUGAAAUAUAAUGAACAUUCCAGACAUAAUUGAUGAAUAAAAUAACAUCCAAUCCCUUCAUUUUAUAGAUUGGUUGAUGAAGACCUUGGACUUUUGGCCAAGAUUGAACAUCUACAGUGGAGAUUAUUUAGUGCUGUUUUCUAUUCACAGGCCUAGCCACUCCAACCUGUCUGUUGUCUUUACAUCAUAGGACUUUACCCAAGGUGCACUCUAUAAUACAUGCCAGUCCAAAUAUACAUUCUGACAGACAAUCUAGCUGCCCACAUCUGUCAGAUGGCUCUUUCUGUGACAACUGAGGAUAAGAAUUUUUUUCUUUAAGAAUUAGAGCUAAAUAUUAUGAAAUAUAAUCUAGACUUCAAGAAACUUUGACAGUUACCUGUAUCACCGUCUGUGGAUGAAUAAAAAUCUCUUUGACAUCUAAGACAAAAUGGCCAUUCACCAUCUAUCUGAAAAUUCUAGUGAGGACAGCCAUACUUUCUGAGGCAUGUUGAAUGGCUAACAUUUUAGAAUUCUUCCUUACAUUGGCUGAAAUAUGACUGAAGUUUCACAGAUUUACCCUUAUUCCUCAUGAUAAAAGUACAGAAGUUUGUUAAGUGUCCUUGGUGACAGGUUGGUCAAGAUUGGACCUUCCAUAGGAUUACUUAGUCUCACAUCCCCUCAUGGCUACGGAUCUCAUAAGGAUGGGUCUGAACAUCAAAAAUAUCACUGUUUUUAUUCAGGUACUGACAGCGCCAUAUAAAUAUGGCUUAAAGCAUGGCUAUAAGAAGAGUGAAUAUUCUAAUGACCUGUCUUGAGUGAAGCUGAUGAGACUGUAUUUUGAGUCUUACUGUACCUGUUAAGGCUAUGCAGCGUAUUUAGAGAGAAAUGUGGAAUUUGUUAUAUAAAGGUAAGUUUAAAUAGGGUGCUAAUAUCUAUGAAGGUCAACUUUGUUAAUUCAACACAAAUAAAAAUCCAAGCCAUGGUCAUUCAGCACACAUAAAGUCUAAGUAAUUUCAAAUAAAAUUACUGCUUGGCUGAAUGCUUAAGCAAUUUUGGAUUGCUGGAGUGAAUCAAAGAAUACUCAUAAUGUAAGCUCAUUAGAUUCACAGAGAGAUAUGCUGAUUUAAUUCAAGUGUUCUGCUGUCCAUUUAAACUUCACCUUCUUUUCUUACUUUGGAUUACUAGAUGUUUUUGUUAAUCUUAUUUGACAAGCUGCAUCUAGUCUUAUGAAUUUAACCUUUUUGUGAAUUGUCUUUGCUAUUAAAAAUUCUGUAACUGUCAAUCACUUGAAUCAUGUGGAGUUAUGAAAAAUGUCUGAUCCUUGAAUGUAUAUCUUUUCUCUCUCCAUCUGUAAUAUCUUACUAUGUACAGAAUAAAUUAGAAACUUAUCUGUGAUGUUAAUAUUUCUGAUAGCUUAAAUAUGUCACUUUACAUACGAUUUAUAUGUAAAAUGAUUUCUAAAUAUGAUAAAAUGUAUCCCAGACUUAAUAGAGGUUUAGCUGAUAUUUUGGCUCAGCUUUUAUUUUUUUAAUUAAUUAAUUAAUUAAUUAAUUAAUUAAUUUGUUUUUGAGACAGAGUCUUGCUCUGUCACCAGGCUGGAGUGCAGUGGCACGAUCUCAGCUCACUGCAACCUCCACCUCUUGGGUUCAAGCGAUUCCCCUGCCUUAGCCUCCCAAGUAGCUGGGAUUACAGGCAUGCACCACCACGCCUGGCAAAUUUUUUGUAUUUUAGUAGAGACGGGGUUUCACCAUGUUGGCCAAGACACUCUCGAUCUCCUGACCUCGUGAUCCACCCACCUCGGACUCUCAAAGUGCUGAGAUUACAGGCGUGAGCCACCACGCCCGGCCAGCUUUUAUUUUAUAGUUUGGUGUUUCUAUGGGAGAUUUAGGGGGAAACCUUAGUUUCUUCUUUUGUCACAUAAUGUUUCCCGCCAUAUAGGAAAAGAUAAUAUUUUAAAAAAUUACAAAAUUACCCUAAAAAGGAGUUCCCUUUUCUUAAGAUACAUACAAGUUUUCACUCAGAAAAGUUGAAUAUUUUAUAUAUAUCUCCGGGAUUUUAGAUUUUUCACUUCAUGGACUGCAUGAUAAAUCUCAUUAAAUCCAUUUGAGAAAAGGUCUGUUCCUCUGUUUAAGAAUUGUUUGAAGACUUUGCAGGAAAUGAUAGUGUGGUAGUAGAUAAAUUCUAUCCCCUGCUUCACCUCUAACCACUGCACUCUUAGACCACGGACAACUUAUAAAAAUAAACUAUCACGUUGUAUUCAAUUAUUCAGGCAAGUGGAGGUUGUAAACCACCCUCUCCCUAAUUUCUCUGCCUCCAACAUAUUAAAACUACCACAUCUUGGCUCCAAGGAUUCAUGGACUGUUGAAUUUGCCCCUACCAAGCAGAGAUGGUGGACAGCAUUAUGAAUAAUAGCUGAUUUUAUUUUAAGUGGGAAUAAAGAGAACUAUAAAAAUCCUUUAACUGUUCCCUCCUACUUAUUAGUGUCUCAAAAUUUUUGACUCAUAACACAUAGAAAAAUCACAAGAUUUGCUUCAAAACAAAAAUAUUAAAAUAUUAAAACCCCAAGUGCAUGGUUUUCUAUAACGUAAUUCAGUUAUUGUAAACUCUGCUUUGUCUCAUAGGAAUACAGUUAUUCACUAAGAACCUUCAGAAGAAAGGAAAAAUAAACAUAUAAAUGUUAAGAUUUGUCCCAUUUCAUACCUCAUCUAGCAUGGUUUUUUUUCAAAUUACUACAUACAUGGCCCUUUUUUUUGCUAGAACUCUUUCCCCUGGAGACUGAAUUGUAGAGAUAACACAGAAUGGAAUGAUUUUUAUUUUAUAAUUAAAGACAGCUUCUUGGGUGUUAUAAUAAUGGUAAAAUAUAGACUGUGUCUAAAGCAAAAUACAGCAAACAAAUGCAAUAUUGGGGCUAUCUGGGCUUAAAAUGCAUUUUCUAUUGUAAUUACCUAACCAUUUCAGCAAAAAAGGGAAUUUUAUUAAGAUUUGAGUUAACUCAUUUAAUCUGGCCAUCUAUCGUUGUCAUUUUAAAUAUCCAUUUCAUUUUGAGUAUUUGGGCACACAUUUUGUUUAUAGGUACAUGGGAAAAUCUAGCACAUAAUUAAUAUAUUAAACUGGCUGUCUUUAUAUCACAACAUAGUCUAUUUAAUCUAUUAUGUUGUUUAACCAAAACCAAACUAUAAAAAGCAAGCAUGGAUAUAGUAGAUUUUUUCUCAGAAAAAAAGCUUGACUAUUAUUUUUAUGAAAUUGCAAAGAAUUACAAUAUUCUUUCACACUGCGUUUCAAGAAAAUGAGCAAAGGAUAUUUAUAGACAUGUUUUUGAUAGAUACCCCAGUGACAACGGAAGUCACUUUUAAAUUAUAAGGUAAAAUGUGAAACUAAUAGAUAAAAUUUGACAUGUUAAGAGUUGCAUCUUCCUCAAAUAUAAAGAUAAGAACCAAUGUAGUUUGAAAAUAGCAAAAGCGCUUUCACUAUCCUAUGGACAGAUAUUUUGGAAAACCUAUUACUUUUACCAAUUAAAUUUAAAACUGCACUGCCUGGUUGUUUCUUUGUUUAUAUAUUUGUAUUCCAUCUUAUUUUAAUAAAGUUUUAAGAGGAA